GGGUUAGGGUAUGGAUUCAAAAAGGAAAACAAGGGGCUUUUGGUUUAGAGUCAAUGUUACAUCCUGUGUUUGUUUCUUUUAUUUCCUCGGUUUUCUUUUCUUGAAUUUUUACCGACUUCCCUUUUCCACGCUUCUUUCUUUUGAAUCCUCGAGUAUUUGAUUUUUAUUUUUCUUUCUUUUUCUCGAUUCAUCAAUUUUUUCUUUUUCUUUUGUUUUUGCACUUUCUAGGGCUUUGAGAGCUUUUGGGGUUUUUAC
Molecule: long non-coding RNA, 255 nt
Filed under: Lathyrus oleraceus (garden pea)
Lineage: Eukaryota; Viridiplantae; Streptophyta; Magnoliopsida; Fabales; Fabaceae
Description: Pisum sativum (pea) long non-coding RNA (PSAT_LNC010126)
Source: RNAcentral